UACGUAGGAUGCAAGCGUUGUCCGGAAUUAUUGGGCGUAAAGAGCGAGCAGGCGGUUACUCAAGUCAGAUGUAAAAUAUCCCGGCUUAACCGGGAGGGGCCAUUUGAAACUGGGCAACUAGAGUGAAGCAGAGGAUAGCGGAAUUCCCGGUGUAGUGGUGAAAUGCGUAGAUAUCGGGAGGAACACCAGUGGCGAAGGCGGCUAUCUGGGCUUUAACUGACGCUGAGGCGCGAAGGCUAGGGGAGCAAACAGG
RNAcentral lists this ribosomal RNA (253 nucleotides) under uncultured bacterium. Its description in RNAcentral is "partial 16S ribosomal RNA". It matches the Rfam family "Bacterial small subunit ribosomal RNA", at positions 524 to 776 of the family's 1533-position model. The record is from RNAcentral.